This 200-nucleotide unclassified non-coding RNA is filed under the name soil metagenome. Its description in RNAcentral is "partial contains internal transcribed spacer 2 and large subunit ribosomal RNA". The record is from RNAcentral.
GUCACAGCUGGCUCAUCUUAAAUGUAUUAGCUGGAUUUGUCUGAUUGACAGGUUUGACUUGGCGUAAUAAGUAUUUCGCUGAGGACAUCUCUUGAGAUGGCCAGUCUUCAUACUACAGUCUGCUUUCCAACACAUUUGUCUUUGGACAUGACUUUUUAUUAUUUGGCCUCAAAUCAGGUAGGACUACCCGCUGAACUUAA